RNAcentral lists this non-coding RNA (27 nucleotides) under Mus musculus (house mouse). The record is from RNAcentral. Lineage: Eukaryota; Metazoa; Chordata; Mammalia; Rodentia; Muridae.
ACAGAAUCUGAUUAUCUUACAGUUGCA